Molecule: ribosomal RNA, 533 nt
Filed under: uncultured bacterium
Lineage: Bacteria
Description: bacterial SSU rRNA
Rfam family: Bacterial small subunit ribosomal RNA
Source: RNAcentral
GAGUUUGAUCCUGGCUCAGGAUGAACGCUGGCGGCGUGCCUAAUACAUGCAAGUCGAGCGAACAGAUAAGGAGCUUGCUCCUUUGACGUUAGCGGCGGACGGGUGAGUAACACGUGGGUAACCUACCUAUAAGACUGGAAUAACUCCGGGAAACCGGGGCUAAUGCCGGAUAAUAUUUAGAACCGCAUGGUUCUAAAGUGAAAGAUGGUUUUACUAUCACUUAUAGAUGGACCCGCGCCGUAUUAGCUAGUUGGCGGGGUAAUGGCUUACCAAGGCAACGAUACGUAGCCGACCUGAGAGGGUGAUCGGCCACACUGGAACUGAGACGCGGUCCAGACUCCUACGGGAGGCAGCAGUAGGGAAUCUUCCGCAAUGGGCGAAAGCCUGACGGAGCAACGCCGCGUGAGUGAUGAAGGUCUUCGGAUCGUAAAACUCUGUUAUUAGGGAAGAACAAAUGUGUAAGUAACUGUGCACGUCUUGACGGUACCUAAUCAGAAAGCCACGGCUAACUACGUGCCAGCAGCCGCGGUAAU